CUCUGACAAGCAGCUUUGAGGUAAAAGUUGUCAGCUGCAGAGUUUUGGAGGGAAAGUUGUAAACUGUUACUAUUGGUUGUCUCCAGGCAGAGAAAGAAGGUUCUAGCUGCCUGAGGUAACAAACUCACUCAUUGGCUAAGGUAUCCGUUUAGAACUGAAUAAAAGGGAGACAGUAUUAUAGCCCAGGGGAAGCGGAGCUUAGAGAGAGGAGUUCUGUUAGACUGUUUACUGCUGAGUGUUGUGUGAGCCGGAACACAAGCAGUAUAAAGAUUGGGCUGAAACUGCUAGGGAAGUCAGCAAUGAGGGAUCUGGUGUUAUUGAAGCCUGCCUCAUGACAGAAGAAGGCUAGCAAGUUUGAUUGUUUGUAUUUCUGUACUCUUGCCAACCUAAUCUUUCAUCAACUGUCCCUGUACUUUUUUGCAUUUUUGAAACUUUAUCACAAGUAAACCUUUCUUUUUUAAAAUAUAUUUUCUGGUGUCUCUGUCAGUUAUUUUAUUCCCACUGCACACCUACCUGCCUGUUUUACCACACUACUAAGUGUUGCUCUUGUUUUUCCAAUGACAGAGAGUUUAGUGACUGUAAGCCUAAGUAGUCACACCAGUUUAACAGUCUUUUUGGUGGCAGCGGAUAGUUAGACUGAGAGCCAGCUGCUGUCAAGCCCUUACAAGUGGUGGCAGUUUGUGAUGGGAUCCAUAACCCAUGGGACAGAGAUUUCUGGCAAGUGGCAGACUUUUUGAAGUAGCCAACUUGUUUUUCCAGUAGAGUGAACAUCUGUCCCCAAACUGGUCUGAGGAAAACAGACCAAGAAAAUGGCAGAGUAUAUGUCCAUGAACAAGGCAGCUUUGGUGGAGAGAUGUCAGUCCAAUGGUCUGUCCUGGUAAGGAAAUAGAAUGGAUGAAAUGAGAGUUCUCCUCAUCCAGUCUGAGGCAGCAACCAGGCAGGCUUCAAAGAACCCCAAUUCAGUGAAGCCCAGAGUGGAUCCAGUUUAAGGAACUGGAGAUGCUGCAAUGCCAGCAAGAGGAAGACCAUCACCUGGGGGAACAGCGUUUCAAGCAGCAAGAGGCAGACCGUCAGCAGAGAGAGGCAGAGCUUCACUGGGAGGAACACUUCCUUUGCUUGCAGGAGGUCCAGAUCUGGCAGCAGGAGGAAUAGCGCAAGGACAAACAGGAAGAACGCAGAUACGAGAAAGAGAUGCUGCUGCUUCAGCAACAACAGGCUGCCAAAGUCACCCCUGAAGACUUCACUGCCUACACCCCAGGGGAAGACCUUCAUGUGUUCUUGACCACCUUUGAAAGAGUAGCACAAAACUGGGGGAUUCAGGAGGAUAAAAUUUCUUGUAUUCGGACCAAGAUGGAUUCAAUGGUUAUUGCAGAGUCUACUGUGGAGAUCAUUUUCACUUUGUGACUCCUGAGGAAGUGGACAAACUGCUUCGGACAACCUGUUCUCUGACCCUUGCCCAACUUGGCUUAUCUCAUCUGAUAACUUUAUUAUCAGAGAGGGUCUGGUGUGCCAGUGACUAAUCUCAUGCGUGGCAGCUCUCACAAGAUUUCCUGGCAGGACAGGACAGAGCACAGCAGGGGGAGCCUCACUCCGAGCCAGCCUGCGGAGGAGGGAAGGAGGUCAAGGAGGAGGCGCCACCGCGAGUCGGCAGGAGAGCGCACAUUGGCUCCAACCCCUGCCUCCUCAUAAGGAGGAUGGCUGAGCAGGCGGCGGCACACCGUAAAAACGGGGCUCAAAGGAUUGGGAUGAGAAUGAACUGGCCAAAGUGAUUUAUGUAGGGGUAGAGAACGAACUGGCUGAAGGGAUGGAAAUGAAGUGAAGAUGGGGCAGGGAGCUGGAAAGGUUGCGGGGUGGAGGGAGAACUUGGGGCACAGAUGCUCUGUGCCAGGUAAGCUAGUUUUAAUAACUGUUUUAUACUAUUUUUAUUUUUUCUUGUGUAUUUUAAUCUGUGUUGACUUUUAAAUAUUAUUUUAAAAAGUUUACACUGCCUAGAGAUGUACAUACCAGGCGGUAUUAAAAUAUGAUAAUUAAAAAUAAACCUAUACUGCUUCUUUUA
Molecule: long non-coding RNA, 2056 nt
Organism: Hemicordylus capensis (graceful crag lizard)
Lineage: Eukaryota; Metazoa; Chordata; Lepidosauria; Squamata; Cordylidae
Exons: 3
Source: RefSeq, a predicted model, not a curated record